This 77-nucleotide transfer RNA is filed under the name Candidatus Gemmiger stercoravium. Its description in RNAcentral is "tRNA-His". It matches the Rfam family "tRNA". Rfam says of the family: Transfer RNA (tRNA) molecules are approximately 80 nucleotides in length. Their secondary structure includes four short double-helical elements and three loops (D, anti-codon, and T loops). The record is from RNAcentral. Lineage: Bacteria; Bacillati; Bacillota; Clostridia; Eubacteriales; Oscillospiraceae.
GUGCCCAUGGCGCAGUUGGUUAGCGCGCCAGAUUGUGGCUCUGGAGGCCGAGGGUUCGAAUCCCUCUGGGCACCCCA